RNAcentral lists this ribosomal RNA (381 nucleotides) under uncultured eukaryote. Its description in RNAcentral is "SSU rRNA". It matches the Rfam family "Eukaryotic small subunit ribosomal RNA", at positions 587 to 972 of the family's 1831-position model. The record is from RNAcentral.
AGCUCCAAUAGCGUAUAUUAAAGUUGUUGCAGUUAAAAAGCUCGUAGUUGGAUUUCUGGUUGGGCAUUUGGGUCUUCCUUUUUGGACUGUACCUCAGUUGCCUGACCAUCCUUUGGGAGAACCGUAGUGGCAUUAAGUUGUUGGUGCGGGUAUCCCAAUCUUUUACUGUGAAGAAAUUAGAGUGUUCAAAGCAGGCUUACGCCGUUGAAUAUAUUAGCAUGGAAUAAUGACAUAGGACUAUUGUACUAUUUUGUUGGUUUGCGCGCAAUAGUAAUGAUUAACAGGGACAGUUGGGGGUAUUUGUAUUCCAUUGUCAGAGGUGAAAUUCUUGGAUUUUUGGAAGACAAACUACUGCGAAAGCAUUUACCAAAGAUGUUUUCA